GCGAGAGUGGCGAAAUUGGCAGACGCGCCAGACUUAGGAUCUGGUGGGGCAACCCGUGCAGGUUCGAUUCCUGUCUCUCGCA
Molecule: transfer RNA, 82 nt
Filed under: Planctomycetota bacterium
Lineage: Bacteria; Pseudomonadati; Planctomycetota
Description: Planctomycetes bacterium tRNA-Leu
Rfam family: tRNA
About the family: Transfer RNA (tRNA) molecules are approximately 80 nucleotides in length. Their secondary structure includes four short double-helical elements and three loops (D, anti-codon, and T loops).
Source: RNAcentral